AUCCUUUUGUACUUCAUAAGCAUGAUGACUGGGUUUUCACAUGCAUGUGCGAGAUGUGCCUCCCUCAAACCUUGUUACAAUGUCAGCACCUUACCCAUCUGACA
Molecule: small nucleolar RNA, 104 nt
Organism: Prolemur simus (greater bamboo lemur)
Lineage: Eukaryota; Metazoa; Chordata; Mammalia; Primates; Lemuridae
Source: Ensembl